UCUAAAAAACGCUGGGUUGUUUUUUCAACCCAACUGCUGAGUUGAGGCCGUUGGAUAGGACUUUGGGAUGUUUUAACCCAAGUUUGGGUUGAAAAUAAGGUUUUAAAAAAAAAAAAUGUAACCCAGCGGGUCUGGGUUGAGGACGCGGACGUGAAGGAGAGCACGCACGUCACGUCAAGAUCGUACGUCUCCAGUGCGAGCAGCCGCCAUUUUCUCAGCGUGAUAGAAGCGAGAAGCGAGUGAAAGACUAUGACUUGUCAAGCUUGUGUCUUCAUUGUCCUCGCGCUGAGAGUUAAAGACACAGAAGCUGUUUGUGUGAGGAGUCACAGACCUGUGUGAGGAUGAGGAGGAGGUGUUCUUCUGAAGAGCGGGACAGACGGUUUAAGGAGAGUAAACUUCAGAAUAACAUCAAGUUAUCUUUAUUUUUACUAAGACUAAAAUAAUGUUGUUGUUUUUUUAGAUGUUGCAAUCCAGAGACAAGAUAACUUCAUUCUUUUGAGACUGAUAACUCAAACUAACUGGAGUUAAGGACACAAAAGUCUGCUUGUGUGAGGAGGUGGUUUUCUCAGCUUCUUCUGAAGAGAGGGAAAGAUCGUUUAAGGCAAGUAAACUUCAUAAUUUCAUGUUAUCAGUUGUUGUUGUGUUUUACUAAGAGU
Molecule: long non-coding RNA, 656 nt
Organism: Carassius gibelio (silver crucian carp)
Lineage: Eukaryota; Metazoa; Chordata; Actinopteri; Cypriniformes; Cyprinidae
Exons: 3
Source: RefSeq, a predicted model, not a curated record